RNAcentral lists this ribosomal RNA (253 nucleotides) under uncultured bacterium. RNAcentral describes it as "partial 16S ribosomal RNA". It matches the Rfam family "Bacterial small subunit ribosomal RNA", at positions 524 to 776 of the family's 1533-position model. The record is from RNAcentral.
UACGGAGGGUGCUAGCGUUGUUCGGAAAUACUGGGCGUAAAGCGCACGUAGGCGGCGCAGCAAGUCAGGGGUGAAAUCCCGGGGCUCAACCCCGGAACUGCCCUUGAAACUGCAGUGCUAGAAUCUUGGAGAGGCGAGUGGAAUUCCGAGUGUAGAGGUGAAAUUCGUAGAUAUUCGGAAGAACACCAGUGGCGAAGGCGACUCGCUGGACAAGUAUUGACGCUGAGGUGCGAAAGCGUGGGGAGCAAACAGG